UACGAAGGUGGCAAGCGUUACUCGGAAUUACUAGGCGUAAAGGGCAGGUAGGUGGUUCGGUAAGUCUGUUGUGAAAGCUCCUGGCUUAACUGGGAGAGGUCAGCAGAAACUGCCGGGCUUGAGUAUAGGAGAGGGUACUGGAAUUCCCGGUGUAGCGGUGAAAUGCGCAGAGAUCGGGAGGAACACCAAUGGCGAAAGCAGGUACCUGGACUAUUACUGACACUCAGCUGCGAAAGCUAGGGGAGCAAACAGG
RNAcentral lists this ribosomal RNA (253 nucleotides) under uncultured bacterium. RNAcentral describes it as "partial 16S ribosomal RNA". It matches the Rfam family "Bacterial small subunit ribosomal RNA", at positions 524 to 776 of the family's 1533-position model. The record is from RNAcentral.